UACGUAGGGGCAAGCGUUAUCCGGAAUUACUGGGUGUAAAGGGUACGCAGGCGGUCUAUUAAGUCAGAGGUGAAAUCCAACAGCUCAACUGUUGAACUGCCUUUGAUACUGGUAGACUUGAGGAUAAGAGAAGAAAACGGAAUUCCUAGUGUAGCGGUGAAAUGCGUAGAUAUUAGGAAGAAUACCGAUGGCGAAAGCAGUUUUCUAACUUAUUCCUGACGCUCAGGUACGAAAGCUAGGGUAGCAAACGGG
RNAcentral lists this ribosomal RNA (252 nucleotides) under uncultured bacterium. Its description in RNAcentral is "partial 16S ribosomal RNA". It matches the Rfam family "Bacterial small subunit ribosomal RNA", at positions 524 to 776 of the family's 1533-position model. The record is from RNAcentral.